GGAGCAUGUGGUUUAAUUCGAUAAUACGCGCAGAACCUUACCAACUCUUGCUAAUUUUUAUAUAAAAUAUUAUAUAAAAAACAGGCGUUGCAUGGCUGUCGUCAGCUCGUGUUGUGAAAUGUUUGGUUAAAUCCUUUAACGAGCGCAACCCCUAUUGUUAGUUGCUAAUUUAUUUAAUAAAAUGAGAAGAGUUUACGUCGUAAACAAUAGGGGUUGCGCUCGUUAAAGGAUUUAACCAAACAUUUCACAACACGAGCUGACGACAGCCAUGCAAC
This is a non-coding RNA of 275 nucleotides. It matches the Rfam family "Bacterial small subunit ribosomal RNA", at positions 934 to 1158 of the family's 1533-position model.